CGGGGGGGGCAAGCGUUGUUCGGAAUUACUGGGCGUAAAGGGCUCGUAGGCGGCCAACUAAGUCAGACGUGAAAUCCCUCGGUUUAACCGGGGAACUGCGUCUGAUACUGGAUGGCUUGAGUUUGGGAGAGGGAUGCGGAAUUCCAGGUGUAGCGGUGAAAUGCGUAGAUAUCUGGAGGAACACCGGUGGCGAAGGCGGCAUCCUGGACCAACACUGACGCUGAGGAGCGAAAGCCAGGGGAGCAAACGGGAUUAGAUACCCCGGUAGUCCUGGCCCUAAACGAUGAAUGCUUGGUGUGGCGGGUAUCGAUCCCUGCCGUGCCGAAGCUAACGCAUUAAGCAUUCCGCCUGGGGAGUACGGUCGCAAGGCUG
RNAcentral lists this ribosomal RNA (372 nucleotides) under uncultured organism. RNAcentral describes it as "bacterial SSU rRNA". It matches the Rfam family "Bacterial small subunit ribosomal RNA", at positions 526 to 896 of the family's 1533-position model. The record is from RNAcentral.